CAUCUCCUUAGAAACGUCUCCUCCUCCCAUCUAAACAACGAAUCUAAGUUUCCAAAAAUAGAUAACUCGGAGGAAGAAGAGGAAGAAGAAGAAGAAGAAGAAUCUGGUCAACUGGUGUCAAGAGCAGGUCGAGAGCAGGUCGACUCAGUCUUCGCUCUCAUGCGGAUUUUUGUUUCUCCUCUUCAGUUUUAGUCAUGCGUAUUAUCGCAGAUCAGAAGACGAGUGAUGUUUUAUGGUGCGUCACGGCACACGGUAAGAGAAAACCAAAUAUCCACGUGUAACCAUCGUAACCGUUGGCGUUACGCUGUCUGAAGUGUCUACCACGAUCUCGACGUUUUCCCGAUUUCAAUGGUAUACUGUCUUUGGUAAGUAGUGGGCCCAUAUUUAUUUAUAUACUUACUUUAGUUUCUUGGAAAUGGCUUACAUGCUGUGACUAAAGAUUAAAAAAAAACAAAUAAAUAAAGGAAAGAGCCGUAAUUUUGAAUGGUAAAUGAAAGGAUUUCGAUCCUUAUUCUGUUUUCGUUUUCAUUCUCAGUUUAUUCCUGUUUUGGCUCUCUUUUGCUGUUUGUGACUUUUGGAUUCACUUGGUUUUGAUAUUUAAUGGAUAAUUUCAUUCAGACAAGAAAAAGAAGAAAUAUUCGACUCUAAUGUUUUGCCGUCCUUUUAUGGAUAAUUACUAAUUAGGUCAAUAACUUUCCAUUUUAGUGGGUUUCCGAUGCCACACUCAAUGCAUCCAAAAAUAGCUUAAGAUCCCAAAAAUCCAAAAAUUAGAUCUUGUUGGGUCUUCGAGCUUGUUACAAGAUUAACACGUCUCUGUAUAUUGUUAAGUUGAUCCUUUUUCUCGGAUAUACAAGUUGAUUUUCAGAUCAUGAGAUUUAAAAUUUUUUGUGGUACCCUUUCCUAACUUUACAACAAAUUGUACAAAGAAUUUCUAUCUGAGAAAAGAGUUCGUCAUUUAUAAGCUACUACGCCUCGGAUAGCUGAUUGGGCUUUUCGCAUAAUAUUGGCCCAAAUCAUAUUUCGCACUGACUUGAAAAUUUUACUAUGAAAUUUCAAAACACCACAAGAAAUAAAAACGAUCUUCAGUUUUAUUAUAAAGGAAAAAGGCAUGAAGUUUCCAAUUCCUGGUGGAUUUAGGAUCUCGAUCUAUUCAAGAAAUACCUUUGUGUGUUGUUCACGUUUGAUAGAAUUUCCCAAAAUCGUUCGUCAUGGAUAAGGAAGUGUUUUGAAACCGAGUUUUCACAGGUUUCAUGUACAAGAUUGCUUGACCGAAUCUGCUGCCAAUGUUCUUCACUACUGGGAUCUCGCAAUCAAUCAUGGAUAAUUACUAAUUAUGUCAAUAACUUUCCAUUUUAGUGGGUUUCUCAAUGCAUCCAAAAAUAGCUUAAGAUGUCAAAAUUCGAAAUUAGUAAAUAUGCUUUUACAAGAUUGAAAUGUCUCUGUAUAUUGUCACUUUGAGCCUUUUUCCCGGCUAUAUAAGUUGGUUUUUCAGACCUAUAAGAAUUUUGUGUUUCCUUUCCUAAUUUACAACAAAUUGUACAAAAUUAAUUAUGUCUUCUUCUUCUUCUUCUCUAUGGCUCGUCUUCGUCUUGUGGAGAAGAAGAAUCAACGGACUGUGCGAAAUCAUAGUCCAUUAUCACACCAUCCAUGGCGUGAACGACUAUCUUCCCUCUCUUUAACCCCAUCUUCACAGUCUCGACGCCAUUAACGACCAAUCCACCACCAUUUCUCUUCUUCCAAAUCUUCAGUGUGAAACCACUCAACGACUCGUACGACGCCGUUUCGUCUUUCCCUAUGUCUCCUUCCUCCACUUUGUACGGAACCACAGCGAAACUCAUGAUCCUCGAUACGACGGCGUAUGUGUUGUCGCCGUCGUCUUCUAUUCGCCGGCUAUUGUUAAGUUUCAGCCCCAGAUCUCGGCUAAAUGCUUCGUCGGACGGUACGAAGGCAGUGAAAACCAGAUCUUCAGGUAGCAUCUCGAUCAUCAUCUUCCCGAAGAAUCCAAGUUCAUCGGAGAGAUCGUAUCUAAGUUUGCGGAGAGAGAGGUAGUCACCGGCGACCGGAGGUGAUUCGGGUAAUCGAAGGAAGGAGAAGACGAGAAUUGUUAGUGAAGAAGCAGUGAUGAGAAGAAAUAGGAAUAACACUGGAUUCUUCAUGAAAUGAGGUUUCCUCAUCGUUUACAUUGAUUCAUUGAUAGAGCUCUGCGAAAAAGGCUUCCAAGGAAGAAGAAGAAGAAGAAGAAAGAUCGAAGCUCGAUUUGAGAAAGAAGAAGCUAGUACGCUUCGAAAUCUGCGAAAUUUGGAUCUGGUUGGGCUUUUUCUUCGCAUUUUCGGCCCAAAUCAUAUUUCGCAUUGACUUGAAUUGUAAAUACUAAUAAAUACCACAAUAAAGGAACCUAGAGUUUGGUAAUAAUUUUGUUGCUUCUCAUAUAACCCAAGGGAAAAGAAAGUAGAUUAUCCGGUUUAUGGUAAAAUAAACAUGGUUUAGGUUUUUUUUUUGAAUAAUGAGUUUCUUCUAAGCAGUAACUCCAAUGGGAACAUUCUUGAGUCUUGAUGUUCCGUAGAGGGUUUCUUCAAAACGAAUGAUCUCGUUCUUUGAGCCAUAAGCAACUUGAGUUCUAUCGUCGAGGUUGAUGAUGGUCUUGUCAAGCACGGACUUGUAUCCAUCACUGCUGAAUCCGCCAGCAUUCUCAACGAGCAGGCCAAGAGGAGCCACUUCGAACAGCAACCUCAACUUUGCCUUAGCCGUAGGAGAAGUCACGUUUGUGAAGAUUCCUUUCUCCUUCACAAUAAUCUGCCAAAAAACAAAUUGAUAAGUUGUUAAAAUUCAAGUUUCUCAGUCAGAAGUAGAAAUCCGGUUUAAAGCUUCAACGAGGGAACGAACCUGGUUAACGUCAGGAACCAUUCCUCCUGUGUAUCGCAGUGUGUACUUCUCUUUCACGUAGUAAUCAAUCAGCUGAUUUCAAAGUGAAGGUAAAGUAGAAGAAGAAGAAGAAAAGCAUUCAGAGAGAGUUGUAGUUUGGUUAUUAGAUUGAAGCAAAAUUAAAGUCAGAUAGGUUCAAAAGCAAGAACCUUGCUGUAUUCGGAGUUGUCGAAUGUGGCUCUCAAGUUUCCUGGUGAGAACAUUUUCCCUUCUGCGAUCUCUGUUGUCUCCUUAACGUGCUGCCAUUUCCCUGGAAAAACACUUUGAGCUUAGUCUAAGAAAACCACUCAAUGAAUGAAUCUUUUAAGACGGGAAAGCAGAGGAAAACCUUCAUCAAGAAGCAAGAACUCAUGAGUUCCUGGAAACCCUUUAACAGCCAAAACAUAAGUCGUUCGUGGACCAUAGAUUCCCAUGGCUGCAGCCACUUGAUCUGCUCCAGUGACUCCAGUUAACUUGUCUCCAGGCCAAACCCCGAAUAUGGUUCCCACUGUGAAGUUUGUAUCCACAAUGCUUGAUCCAUCCAAUGGAUCAAAUGCAACGCUAAACCCACCUGUCCAAAACAAAUUUCAUACAUUUUCCAUAACAAUUUCCACGGAAUUAGGAAGUGGAAAUGUAACUUAAUUUUACAUGAACCGACCUUCAACUGGACCUCCCAUGUCUUGAAGCUCAGGUACUUCUUCAGAGCAAGCGUACUUGCAAACAUGCGAGUAUUGCAAAGCCUAUAAAGACCAAUACACAAAUCAAAACCUAAUAUGCUCAUUUUCCCGAAAAUCAAACUUAUGAAACAAGUUAUUCAAAAUGUAGUAUAUAUAACCUCAAAGAGAAGCUUGUCGGCGAGCAUAUCGACAGCGAGUUGCUCAUCACCAAAGGAAUUAACACAAGCUGUUCCACCACAAGAAGCUGUUCUAACUUUGAAAGCUAUUGUCCUCAAUGCUUCACCCAUACACAUUAACAAAGUUCUCAGUCCCUUGUCUGGUGUAGCUUGUGUCAAAAACUCUUCCUAUACAGUCACACAAGUAAGAGACUUUCAGUAUAAUCAAAAUUAAAUCUUUAACACUGAGUUUAAAUAAAAAUUGAGUCUUUUUUUGUUACUCUAGAAUUACCAAGCUUUGGCCAAUUUCACAUUUGGUCACACUUGAAGCACCAUUGUUCUUCGCCUUGGUGGACUUCAAUUGCGAUCUUGGUGCUAGUCGCAGUGAAUCUCCAAAGAUCGAGCUCGAUUUCAGACGCUGCUUAUUUCAAAUGUUAAGUACCCGUUUACAAUUAGGCACACAUUCGUUAUAUUGAAUCAAUCAAAAUAAGUUUUCUCACUCACUAUCAGUGAACAAAAUUUUACUCAGUAAUCACGCAUGUGUGUGAAGUCAGUGCUAUAUGCAUAAUUGUAGAAGAUACGAAAUUACGAACCUUGAAGCUGGAAGAAGCGGAGAAGGAAGAAGGAGGAGAAACCAAUGUAGAGGAUCGUUGAGAAGAGACGCUUGGGAGGAGGAUGCCAUGUGAGUAGCGCGCGAUGCUGGUCUCCAUUGCUGAUAUUUGAUCGAAGAAGAAGAAGA
Molecule: long non-coding RNA, 4472 nt
Filed under: Eutrema salsugineum
Lineage: Eukaryota; Viridiplantae; Streptophyta; Magnoliopsida; Brassicales; Brassicaceae
Description: long non-coding RNA (ESAL_LNC001367)
Source: RNAcentral